UGUUCGCUCGAUGACUAACAAGUUGUUAAUUAAUAAUUAACCCGCUUUGCUUCGAUUCAGUUUUUUCCUUUCUCCACUUUUCGUGAGCCUUUUUCCCCCGUUUUUUUUUUCUUCGAUUCAUUUUCCCUUUUGUUUUGCUUGUUGCAACAGGAUUCGGUUGUGUUUUCACCUACUGAAAAAGGCCUCUGUUUAAUUAUGCGUUUUCUCUUUUGUUUGCUUUGAGACCUUUAUUGAUUUGAUUGAUUGGCCGUCGCUAAUCACUCGUUCAACAAAAAAAAAACCGGAAAGAACAGGUUCCGAAACGAAAACAUGGUUGCCUAACACAAAGAAAAACAAAAUACGAUCGCGCGCGUUACACAACUGAAACAAAAGGACAGUGUAACGCUUCUCAAACAGCUUCUUCUUUUUUUUUGUUACCCUUCCACGCACAUCCUAAUUUCGAUUUUGUUAGAUUAUUUUGUUUGUUUGUUUUGUUUACCUUUUUUUCCUAAAACAGAAAAGAAAACAGACACUUUUGGUUUCUUUUUGCAUGUCAAAAACUUCAACAACUUCUUAUUGGGUAAAACAGAUUUCUUUUGUUUUGUUCGCGUUACUUUUGUCGUUAUGUUAUUGUUUUUCUUUGUUUUUACAUCUUUUUUUUUGCUUUUUUUUCGUUUUCAGCGGCAUUGUUUUCCGAAAAAUUAAUUGCAGUCGGUUUCAAUUUAUUUUUAUUUUUGUUGUAUAUUGCUUGUCAAAAAUUUGCAUUUCUGUGUUUGUUUUGUGUUUUUGCUUUGUUUUCAGUUGCUGUAACGGUUGCUGAUUGAUUGGUCGAACAAUGACUCAGGGCGUCGACGUUUCGGUUUCCGCGCUGGGCUUCCCUGGGAUUUGAUUUGGCAGACACAGUCCACGGACGUUUGAGAUCAGACAUUCUUUGAUCAGGGGAAAUGCUCAGCACGGAAAUUUAGCAACGUGACGUUUUUCGGGGAAAUCAGAGUUUGAGGUCUUUACGAUUAAUUGCCUAACAAUUUUUGAGAAAUAACUGAUAUGAAACCUAGAGCUUUAGGUGUAAGGAGUUGAUAGGCACAAAACUAAUCGAAAUAAUUUGCUUGUAUUUCUAGCCGUUCAAUCCAUUCUUGUCAAGCCCUAACAGUUGGCUUUUGUUUACAUUUUCGUUUUCGUUUCUUUUGGUCGGUAUCGAUUGUUGUGUUUCUCUUCUGACGGAAAUUAAAAAAUUCUCAACAAAAAUCGAUGUUUCGUUCUGCUAGCUCUACACUCACAAAUUCGCUCAAACAGCGCACCUUAAUUCUUCCUUAGUUACGGUCCUUAACUCCACAUUUGUUGUCACUAAUAUUAUUUUCAUUUAAUAUAAUCCAUAAUCGUUAUAUUUACACAGAAAUGUACAAAACUUCUUACUUGGUAUGGUCAAAUAAUGUACAGAAUGUUACAAAUUGGUAUCUUUAAUUUCCUCAUAGUUGCUGCAUUUAAUCCUUCUUUUUUUAAGAUCUGCUCUAAUAGAUAGUUCCCACGCGCGGUUUGACAGCAGCUGGCAGCUGUCAAACGUGGUUGGCAUUCGUCAGUGUGUGUGUUUCUGUGGACGCUUGGUCACUCCAAUGCUCAAACCAAUGUCAAAACAACAAAUAGUCCGCACACACGUGCGUCCAUUUCAUUAUUCUAAGCUACAAAAUUGAUUCACGAGCGUCACGCGAACAGCUCACCCCACCUGCGUUACCGCCCCCUUUGACAGCUGCAUUGUAACGCAUACGCGUUACGCAGUAGGCCUUUGCACAGUCGCACAGUCCUUGCCGAGAGCAUCACAGCAUUGAAACCUCAAUCAUCCUUCUACCCUGUGGGAAUUGUAACGCCUUACAUUUCUCACAGGGCAACGAUGGAACCCACCGUCAGCUGUCAAACGCGCGCGUAACGCAAUAACGGCGAACGAGCGCGCGCGCGCUGUCAACAAUAAAAUGAUGUUUACCCAAAUACAAUGCUGUCGGUGACAAAAUGGGGAUCAGCUUUGCGGUUUUGACGAUGUUCUGCCUUGCGUUACUGUAAAUAUAACAAUAAAUGGUUCUAAUCCCACUUGUGAUUACUUUGUGUUUCGCCUGUCAACGUUAAGUUGUCAAUCUCUUUAGACGACAGUCACGGCUCGUGUCCGCGGUGCCAUCCACGCUCUUCCAGUUAAUAUUUUGUGUGGUCUCUAACGUUACAAAUUUGCGUCAAGAUUGUAAAUAUAUAAAUAGACAUUUAGUAAUUUGUUUGUUUUUUUUCCUUGUCUUGCUCAAUAAAUAUUCUUGGGCUUUUCUGGUUCGGGUUACUCUUUGUCCAUCGUGAUUCACGAAAAUUACCCCUAAUCGGUCACAAAUUUUGUUUCAGCUCUACAGGGUGUCCUGGCUUUGCAAGAGUUUGCAGGUUCAAAUUUAUGUGUUCAUGUUAGCGGUUUUUUUUGUCAUUUUUUUGUUUUUUUUUAUCAUUUUUUCUUCAAUUAGAAAGAAACGUUUCUCUACACACUUAAAGCAGUUGAUUCCACGGAUGUAAUAUUUUGUUUGUUUGUUUGUUUGUAUUUCGUUUAGUAUAAUAGUUAUGAGCCUUAAGAAAAAACGAGUUUGCUCUCGAUGAUUUGCUUUGUGUUCGUCAUCGCGCGUAGAGCUAGGAGUAAGAUGUAGUUCUGUUUGUAUGUGUGUGUGGUUUUUGCUUAGUCCCCCACUGUUGUUUGGUAAAGUUACUAAAAUUUGAUUUCCGUGUUGCGUGUUGUCAUCACGCGUGUAAUGUUGUAACAACAGCGUUUAUUUUUUGUAAGAAAGUGUAUUAAAAUGACUUUAGAAGAGAAAAAAAAAUGAUUUCGAACAAAAAUAAUCAAACCUGCUUCAAAACAGAGGAUCUUGCCUGUAACAGUUGUGUAGGAAAAUGCAUGGUUUGGCAGUUGUCAACAUGGUUUUUUUGAACAAAUGUUUGAUUUAUCCCGUUUGUGAUGUACUGUUUGUGGCAAGUCAAAACAAAAAGAAAGGGGGCCUCGUAUGUAAGUAAACAGAAGCAAAUCGUCUAAAACAAGUUUUAAAAUAUGGUAAUACAAGUUUAAAAAAAUAUUUAUAUUUUGUAAUUAUGUAAAAUAAAGAAUAGACUAUUUCACAGCCUGCAUAGAUACCUGAAUAUUUCUUUUAUUUUGUUUUCUGUUUUUCUUUUCUCUCACAUCUCUUAUUUAAUUGUUUCCAUUUACACUUAGGGUUCACUACUACUUUAUUAUUAUUUAUUUCGUUUGCUUGAUUCCUCUAGGUUGGUUUGUUUUGUGUUUGUAUUGGUUUGCUUAACGGCCGAUUGAAAUCGUUAGAACAGAGCGAAACGUCAAUGAUUUGUUUGUAAACAAAGAGGUAAGCAACUUUGCGAACAAAAUGAGAUGAAAAAAAAUAGUGCUUACUAAAAGUACGCAGUUUUGACAGUUUCAGAAUAAUAAUUACCCAUAAACAAGUUAGCGUAAAAUGAGAUCAACAGAAUUUUCGAACUUUCCUAUUUUUUGUGUUAAAUGAAAUGCGAUAAUGUUGUAAUUUCAAAUCUUUUCAUUUAAGGGCGGCGGCGGGCGGCAAAAGGGCACAUAUUUGUUUGGAGAGGGGCGCUUGGUUUUGGUCUGUGUUGGUUAUGUGGUUUUCUAGUUUCUUCCUCUAUGUAUGUGUGUGUUAUUUGUACAUCGAUAACGAUUGUGUUAGAAUGGUGGCCAAAGGAACACACGUGUGUUAGUUUGUUAUUGUUCUUUCGCUUACAAACAAGAUAUGUUAAUUUCAUGGGAAAAUUUUAGUCUCUACUGCCAUGUGUCAUUUGAAAAGGGGAAAUUUUAAGGGAAACAUUCUUGAAUAAACUUGCUUAUGUGUGGUGAGUAUCGCUCACGCCUACUGCGAUAAUCGCUGUGGAUCGAGCUUACCAAUACAAAUGCGCUCCUCUAAUCUGCGUAUGUACGAGUGUUUGUUUGCAUGCACAACAACAACGGCGACAACAAUAGAAAAACACGUUGGAAAACGAAGCUAGAGCCGGAAGGUUUCGGAAAAAGAGGAAGGGACAGGUGGGGCUCUCUACCGAAGGGGCACAUUAAUUCAGAAACACAUACAGGCAGCUACUGUAGCAAAGUGACAACCAAAUGUUUACGUUUUUUGUUUACUCAUCUGCACCGCGCACUUGUUUCGUUUUGUUUAUAUCUUAUUGUUGCCUAAUUAUGUCUGCAGCUAUCAGUCUUAAAAUUAAUUCCCGGUUGCUCCUCUCCGCCUCGGGAAAUUGUUUCGCACCAAUAUUUAUGUUUUUUAAUAAUUCAAUAUUUCUUUCAACUCUACGCAACUAGUGUAUGUGUGUCUGUUUGUAUGUUAUUGUGUAUGUGUGCAUUUUUUUCCGUUACUCGCCCAUUGUUUCGUCCACAGCGAUGCUUACUGUACUCGACCGCUUACACGUACAAGUUUGCUUAGAAUCUUACUAACACUAACACAAACACGAGUAAAAAAACGACUUCCAUCACUCAAAAUAAUCCACACGUUGAUGCUACCUGUAAAAUCACGUAACCCCGAUUUUCCCCUCGCUAGGCUUGUUUUACGUGACACACGUAAAAAUAAUGUGAAAGUGUACUGGCAAAAAAAUGUUUUCAAGUUGAAGUUACGUGAAAAACCAUAUAGUAUUUUUCCACUAGGUUUUUCCAUGUAGCUUUUAUGUGUUUUGAAAUGUAACUUCAACAUGACUCGAGUGCGGCAUUCUACCAAAUUUCUACGUGAUUAUUUUAGUAUGAAAAUUGAUGGCGUACGGUGAAGUCCUGCUGCCGGACUAUUCUCGUUAAAUUUAGUUGAAAAAGGAAGAGACGAAGCUGAUUUCUGAAAGCAGCAACUUUAGUUUUUCGGCGGCCACUGGCAUCAAAACUGGUCAUCACCAGCAAUCUCCAGUUGGCAAAGUUCGGGAGCCCAGGAAAUCCGAUCCAGGUUGCUACGCCGAGACUUCACUAAUGUCUUGGCCAUCAGCGGCAGAAUUAUGAAGAGAUCGCUGAGCGCGGACAUCAACAGCGGCCGAUUAACCAUUGCCUGGCACCGCAACCGGCCAUCUCCAACAACCCCCGGUUGGCUGAAGUCAUGGGCAAGGAAAAUCUCGACAAUGCUCGGAUAUAAGAGCGACGGCCGAGUAGAAGUUAACGUGGUGCACAAAGCACUGGCCAACGGUGGCGAUUCUGCGCGUGGCAAACGGACUGGACUACUCGGAGAUCCUUGGGGAGGAGAUCGCGACCAUUUGGUCGAGCACCUUGUCGAGGCAGGGCCGACCUGGUGGAAAGGUCUCAUCGGUGUUCCCAGCAAAUGGCAUUUUUUACAAUUUAGUUUCUAACGGUAAGAUCUUUGGAAAUAUUGGUUAAAUAAACAUGUUUAUGCAAAUUUAACUGACUUCAUUAUUAUUUCUAUUCGAAAAAUAAGUGAAACAAAACCAAAAUCUACUACAUACUACAAAGUUCAUACAACGUUCACUAAAACAAACACGUAGAUAUCAUCGACGUUCCAUUUAGCUUUUACGUGUGAAACACGUAGAAUAGACGUGAAAUGCUCUGACCAAGCAAAUUCCGUUUCUACUGGAGUCUCCUCGUAGAAGUUACGUGAAAACUUUAGUGGAAAAAUACCACAAAGCUUUUCACGUAACUUCAACGUGAAUAAUUUUUU
Molecule: long non-coding RNA, 5642 nt
Organism: Culex pipiens pallens (northern house mosquito)
Lineage: Eukaryota; Metazoa; Arthropoda; Insecta; Diptera; Culicidae
Exons: 3
Source: RefSeq, a predicted model, not a curated record